UACGUAAGGUCCGAGCGUUGUCCGGAAUUAUUGGGUGUAAAGGGUACGUAGGCGGAGAAGUAAGUUAGAUGUGAAAUCCUAUAGCUCAACUAUAGUAAGCUUUUACAACUGCUCAUCUUGAGGUAUGGAAGGGAAAGUGGAAUUCCUAGUGUAGCGGUGAAAUGCGUAGAUAUGAGGAGGAAUUCCGAUUGCGAAGGCGGCUUUCUGGCGAUAAACUGACGCUGAGGUUCGAAAGCGUGGGUAUCGAACAGG
RNAcentral lists this ribosomal RNA (252 nucleotides) under uncultured bacterium. RNAcentral's name for it is "partial 16S ribosomal RNA". It matches the Rfam family "Bacterial small subunit ribosomal RNA", at positions 524 to 776 of the family's 1533-position model. The record is from RNAcentral.